Molecule: non-coding RNA, 592 nt
Organism: Petromyzon marinus (sea lamprey)
Lineage: Eukaryota; Metazoa; Chordata; Hyperoartia; Petromyzontiformes; Petromyzontidae
Source: RefSeq, a predicted model, not a curated record
AUGCAAUUCCCACUGGUAAAGUUUCAAUCUUUCAGAGGUUUCAUUGAGGCCAAGGCAUCACUUAAGUCAAAGUCUUACGUUAAAAGGUAAAGCCCCACUGAGCUGUUAGGUAUUUUUCAGAGGCAACCUGGCCUCACGUGAUAGCUCAUCGAAGUGGCUUGUCACAUGCAGGAAUUUAUAGUCGUAGUCAUAUAAGCUAAGCGCAUGUUUCGAAAUGUGGGGGGGGAAACCGGAGGACCCGUAUAAAAAUCCAUGCGACCAUGGGGACAAGAGACAUGCAAACUCCAAAUAUACAUUAGGGUCGGGAUCGAACCCACGACUUCCUGCAUACCAGGCGAGGGACAUAACAUCUUUCCAUCACGGCACUGAAGGUGGAGAUUAUAAAGUAAAAUUUCAGUUUAGGUGAAAAGUUACAGGGAAAAUCAAAGCUUUAGCUGACAGUUUUACACAAAGUAAAAAUCUGCCGGAUUUGCAUAUUGCCCUCUCUUAUAUUAAGGUGGAACAGGUAGAGAUCACUUUUCCACUUUUGUUUGCACUGAAUCACAGCAUGGUAUAUACAUCUUGCCUGUACCCUCCCUCCCCACCCUGUAAA